Molecule: ribosomal RNA, 384 nt
Filed under: uncultured bacterium
Lineage: Bacteria
Description: bacterial SSU rRNA
Rfam family: Bacterial small subunit ribosomal RNA
Source: RNAcentral
AGUGAACGCUGGCGGCGUGGCUAAGACAUGCAAGUCGAGCGAGAAGCUCCUUCGGGAGUGGACAGCGGCAAACGGGUGCGUAACACGUAAGCAACCUGCCCUUAAGUCGGGAUAGCCUACCGAAAGGUGGAUUAAUACCGGAUGUGGCAUUUCUUCGCAUGAAGAAAUGCUAAAGCUUGUAAUGGCGCUUAAGGAGGGCUUGCGGCCUAUCAGCUUGUUGGUGAGGUAAAGGCUCACCAAGGCUAAGACGGGUAGCUGGUCUGAGAGGAUGAUCAGCCACACUGGGACUGAGAUACGGCCCAGACACCUACGGGUGGCAGCAGUUUUCGAAUCAUCCACAAUGGGCGAAAGCCUGAUGGUGCGACGCCGCGUGGGGGAUGACGG